UACGAAGGGGGCUAGCGUUGCUCGGAAUCACUGGGCGUAAAGAGCGCGCAGGCGGUCGUUCAAGUCGCGUGUGAAAGCCCCCGGCUCAACUGGGGAGGGUCACGCGAUACUGAUCGACUCGAAGGCAGGAGAGGGAAGUGGAAUUCCCGGUGUAGUGGUGAAAUGCGUAGAUAUCGGGAGGAACACCAGUGGCGAAGGCGACUUCCUGGCCUGUUCUUGACGCUGAGGCGCGAAAGCUAGGGGAGCAAACGGG
RNAcentral lists this ribosomal RNA (253 nucleotides) under uncultured bacterium. RNAcentral describes it as "partial 16S ribosomal RNA". It matches the Rfam family "Bacterial small subunit ribosomal RNA", at positions 524 to 776 of the family's 1533-position model. The record is from RNAcentral.